UAAAUUGUCACUUGUUUCUAAUCUCAUUUUCACAUCAAGCUAGCUUUCUUCAGUUUUUCAUUAAUUGAUCCAUGGCAGCAUUCUCAAGAGCUUUUGCACUUCUUCUGCUUCUGGUCUUCAUCACAGAUUUCCAGCAAAUUGCAGGAUUGAUGAGUGGCCCGGCAGCGAGUCCAGUUGCACCACCAGCUAUCAACUGCACGGCAUCAUGCGAUACGCGAUGCAGCGAGACCAAGAGGCCAAAUCUGUGCAAGAGGGCGUGCGGGAGCUGCUGCGGAAAGUGCAAGUGUGUGCCACCAGGCACUUCUGGGAACUAUGAGGCCUGCCCUUGCUACUUCAACCUCAAGACUCAUAACAACACCCGCAAAUGUCCUUAGAUGUUUUCAUAAAUCAUCUAUGAGUGUUUAUAUAUUGUCUUUAUUAGUUUUGGUCUUAACUCUCAUGUAUUGCUGCAUUAAAAUUAAGGUAGCUACCGAAUGAUAAGAAGCUGGAUUUCAUUAUGCAUGAAGUGAAGCAAACUCGGCAGUAUCAGUGUAAUUUUGAGUGAUGAUAUGUGAUAAAUCGACAGAUCAUUAUUUGAGAUAAAAGAGCAGGCUUUUGUUUA
Molecule: RNA transcript, 601 nt
Organism: Daucus carota subsp. sativus
Lineage: Eukaryota; Viridiplantae; Streptophyta; Magnoliopsida; Apiales; Apiaceae
Exons: 2
Source: RefSeq, a predicted model, not a curated record